Conger conger (European conger) is the source of this 2269-nucleotide long non-coding RNA. RefSeq lists it as uncharacterized. The transcript has 4 exons. NCBI's taxonomy places the organism in Eukaryota, Metazoa, Chordata, Actinopteri, Anguilliformes, Congridae. The record is from RefSeq and is a predicted model, not a curated record.
AGGAGCGCCCAAGCAAGACUGAACCAGAGGAUUACAGGAUCCUGUAAUUAUAUCAAUUGGAGUUUGUAUGCAAAUCUCUGGCUUCUCUCUUUGUUCACUGAAAUUUCAUAGGUGGACGCUAUCAUUUGCAGAGUAUGGUUUUCUCUUGUUUUUGAUUCCCUGCCUAGUCUUAACAUGUAGACUUCAGGAGUAGUGAUGCCAAUUUCGUCUGGAGCAACAGGGCGAGUGGGAGUGGGGGUGGACACCUCCAUUAUGUGGACCCCUGACGGAUGGAAGCAAGAUGCAAAUCCCCUCCACAGGAACUGUGAUUCCUAUUUGGAGAGAUACUUAGAAACACACCCAAAUGUGACGAAAAGGAGCAACAUAGACACUUCAGUGGUCAUCCAUGAGCAAACGAGCAACCAGGGACCAAAGGGUAAGAACAGGACCACUUUCUCAAAAGGUCUAAAUGGAGGAAGUAAUGCAAAGCAGCAACAUGAGAGCCAAGACACCACAGGAAACCUAUCCAGCGAAUCAACUUCUAAAUCUUCCACGUGUGCUAUUCUAUAAAGAAUCAUCCUCAAACAUCCUCAGUUGUGAGAGCUACUGUACCUAUUGUACCACAGGUCCCAAACUAAUGUUUUUGUGUGACAAUGGUGAAAGUAAGUUGUUAACAGCUGAAUAUUCAAGGAAAUCAGGUAUUUGUGGAAAUAUUUGGGUUCAGUAUUUCAAUGAUGCUUUCAUUGCUUUGCGUGAUUGUGUUCUAUUGCAUAAGAAAGUAUUCUACUGAGGUUCCAUAUAUAGUACAACUAUUAGCCCUUUCCACUUUGCCCACCCAAAAGGGCAAUUUCCACCUAUUUUGUAUGACUCCUAUAAAAGUGUCAAUAUCUCAAAAACUGUUUAUGACACCAACAUGGUUGAAGGCUUAAAUUAAAGAAGAGACGUUUACCAUUCAGAAACCUCAGACACACAUUUAUGAUAGACAAUGUACAUACACUGUACACAAAAGUACCCCUAAAAUACAAAACAAUUACAAAAAACCUUGUGUUUUAAUAGUUUAGCAUCUUAAUUUCUCAGGCAAGGACCAACCCAGACCAACCCUAUGUUAUAUUUGUGCAAAAACUUGAAGUCAAAGAUAUCGGCAGGCAUUCAAAUUCCUCAUGAGUUUUCCCAAAACUGCACCCAGAUGUCGUCAAGUGUCCCCAAAUUUAUCCAAAUACAAAACAUCUGCAUAUCUUUGUCCAGACACAUGAAUGAUCAGAAAAGCCUAUUUUGGUGGGCAAUGGUGGCACACAGACAAAGUAACAGACCUUGAUGCAGGCAUCAGUUUGUUACAGUUGCACAUCAUUGCACUCCUGUCAAAAGCUGGCUCUCAUGGAGGGAGGGACUCAGCAGGGACUAGUAGGGAUCACCGCGUGCAUGCACCCCGGUGCGCCUCGGAAUUACGGUCACAGGGUGUGAGACAAGACGGCUUGAAGAAGGCGUGUUGUUCUCCCUCUGGCCUGCUGAAGGGACAGGGUUGUAAGCGGUGUAUCCCCAGCUAACACUAAUUGGAUUAGAUAGGGUACAAUUGGCAAAAAAGAAAAAUUUAUUUAAAAAAAUGUUUUCAAUUAAAACAGAUUUUCUGAAACAAAAUGUAAAGAAAAUUAACCUUCACGUGUGUCUUAUUCACUUAUAUGAGAGUAUGUUUUUUCUAAAGCUCUCCAAAGUGUUAAAAAAGCUCUCUGAAAAGGAUUACUCAACCUAAUGCUUUCUAACAAAUCUGCAUCACAUUUAAAAUGGAACUUAAUUUCAAAAUUAGGUUAAUCAGAGCCCCAUUAGCCAGGUUAGCCAGUAGAAUUACAGGUUUACAUUUAUAGGAAGUCCAAAUCCUGUAAUUGCUAUUCAUUCUGCUAUGCAAACUGAGUGGUAUCCACCGCACUCUAUGGCCAGAAUAUGACAGUUAGAAAGGGUAGGAGACCCCCUACAUAAGCGUGCCAUGUUUUACACCAGUACAGUGUUGAAAUGACCUAGCAAUGCAAUUAUGCAACAUUCAAAAGGACUUCAAGAUGGCAUUUGCUCGGGUAUAUUCCCAGCAAACCAUAGUUUUCUUGGAAAUGGCUGAACAGAUUACGGAAUAAACUUCAACAUUAGUCAGAAAGCAGUCGUAGCUUCAUAACUAGUUGGGAUAUUUGGUUCCAUAAAUAUGACUGUAUCGAAUAAUUGAGAAACGGCCAAACCCGAAAUAUGUAUGUCGGACGUGGAAUAAAAAUGAGACAAGAAAAUAAAAACAAUGUGUUUAUUCAUGCAA